RNAcentral lists this ribosomal RNA (358 nucleotides) under uncultured Acholeplasma sp. RNAcentral's name for it is "bacterial SSU rRNA". It matches the Rfam family "Bacterial small subunit ribosomal RNA", at positions 1025 to 1382 of the family's 1533-position model. The record is from RNAcentral. Lineage: Bacteria; Bacillati; Mycoplasmatota; Mollicutes; Acholeplasmatales; Acholeplasmataceae.
GACGGUAUGACAGGUGCUGCAUGGCUGUCGUCAGCUCGUGCCGUGAGGUGUUGGGUUAAGUCCCGCAACGAGCGCAACCCUAUUGCUAGUUACCAUCAUUAAGUUGGGGACUCUAGCGAAGACUGCCAGUGAUAAACUGGAGGAAGGGUGGGGAUGACGUCAAAUCAUCAUGCCCCUUAUGACCUGGGCUACAAACGUGAUACAAUGGCUGGAACAAAGGGAUGCGAAGCAGUGAUGUGGAGACGAAACCCAUAAAAACAGUCUCAGUUCGGAUUGAAGUCUGCAACUCGACUUCAUGAAGUCGGAAUCGCUAGUAAUCGCGGAUCAGAACGCCGCGGUGAAUACGUUCUCGGGGUUU